This 464-nucleotide ribosomal RNA is filed under the name Vreelandella stevensii. RNAcentral describes it as "partial 16S ribosomal RNA". It matches the Rfam family "Bacterial small subunit ribosomal RNA", at positions 339 to 795 of the family's 1533-position model. Lineage: Bacteria; Pseudomonadati; Pseudomonadota; Gammaproteobacteria; Oceanospirillales; Halomonadaceae. The record is from RNAcentral.
CCACGGGCGGCAGCAGUGGGGAAUAUUGGACAAUGGGCGAAAGCCUGAUCCAGCCAUGCCACGUGUGUGAAGAAGGCCUUCGGGUUGUAAAGCACUUUCAGUGGGGAAGAAAGCCUUGGGGCUAAUACCCUCGAGGAAGGACAUCACCCACAGAAGAAGCACCGGCUAACUCCGUGCCAGCAGCCGCGGUAAUACGGAGGGUGCGAGCGUUAAUCGGAAUUACUGGGCGUAAAGCGCGCGUAGGCGGUCUGAUAAGCCGGUUGUGAAAGCCCCGGGCUCAACCUGGGAACGGCAUCCGGAACUGUCAGGCUAGAGUGCAGGAGAGGAAGGUAGAAUUCCCGGGGUAGCGGUGAAAUGCGUAGAGAUCGGGAGGAAUACCAGUGGCGAAGGCGGCCUUCUGGACUGACACUGACGCUGAGGUGCGAAAGCGUGGGUAGCAAACAGGAUUAGAUACCCCGGUAGUC